Non-coding RNA from Rattus norvegicus (Norway rat), 69 nucleotides. The record is from Rfam. NCBI's taxonomy places the organism in Eukaryota, Metazoa, Chordata, Mammalia, Rodentia, Muridae.
GGGGGUUUAGCUCAGUGGUAGAGCACUUGCCUAGCAAGCGCAAGGCCCUGGGUUCGGUCCCCAGCUCCG